This 497-nucleotide ribosomal RNA is filed under the name uncultured bacterium. Its description in RNAcentral is "partial 16S ribosomal RNA". It matches the Rfam family "Bacterial small subunit ribosomal RNA", at positions 28 to 507 of the family's 1533-position model. The record is from RNAcentral.
GAUGAACGCUGGCGGCGUGCCUAAUACAUGCCAGUCGAGCGAACGGACGAGAAGCUUGCUUCUCUGAUGUUAGCGGCGGACGGGUGAGUAACACGUGGAUAACCUACCUAUAAGACUGGGAUAACUUCGGGAAACCGGAGCUAAUACCGGAUAAUAUUUUGAACCGCAUGGUUCAAAAGUGAAAGACGGUCUUGCUGUCACUUAUAGAUGGAUCCGCGCUGCAUUAGCUAAUUGGUAAGGUAACGGCUUACCAAGGCAACGAUGCAUAGCCGACCUGAGAGGGUGAUCGGCCACACUGGAACUGAGACACGGUCCAGACUCCUACGGGAGGCAGCAGUAGGGAAUCUUCCGCAAUGGGCGAAAGCCUGACGGAGCAACGCCGCGUGAGUGAUGAAGGUCUUCGGAUCGUAAAACUCUGUUAUUAGGGAAGAACAUAUGUGUAAGUAACUGUGCACAUCUUGACGGUACCUAAUCAGAAAGCCACGGCUAACUACGUG